This is a non-coding RNA of Peromyscus maniculatus bairdii (prairie deer mouse), 928 nucleotides long. NCBI's taxonomy places the organism in Eukaryota, Metazoa, Chordata, Mammalia, Rodentia, Cricetidae. The record is from RefSeq and is a predicted model, not a curated record.
AGGCCCUAGAAACCAGAAGAGUGCAGUUAGAGACCAUGAGAAUUCCAAAGCAGCAGCCAUUCACAGUCUACUUGGAAGAUUCUCUAAUUGGCUUACUUCUGAACCCUUCAAAAGGUCAGAGAUGGGGCACUUGGGCACAGAGUCCAGAAGAGCAGAGGCCAAGACAAGUGGCUGGGCAGAAGUCUAGAAGGAAUUCAGAUACCCGUUUGGAGAAAAUCCUAUGUUUUUAAAGAUGGCAGUCACAGAUGGCACAGACUGCCUGAGAAGACCACACUCUGGAGAAAUGACCAAGAAAACAGUCAUUUGAAAGUUGAUUUGGGACAGACACCGCACUGAGAAGAGAUGAAUUCUCCACGUUUGCCCUCCAGUGUUGAAAUUCCUCAAUCUCCAAGGAUUUUAAAAACAGGUAAAAAAAAAAAUGAUAUGCAAAUUAUACCGAGUCUAUCAACCUACCAAAGUUUUAUGUGUAACCUUGGAGAAGACGAAGGACUCAGAGAAUAACUUCCCAUACAGAUUAUUUUCUUAAGCUACUUUUGGGGAGCAGGGAGCUCUUGGCCAAUCAAUCAGAUUGGUGGAAUCAGGGGCUUAAAAUUUGUCACCAGGGUCACAUGAGGCUUGAGAGGUCUGCAUUUUAAAAUACAAAUUGCAAAGGUUUUUGGGAAAGGCUAGUAUCCAUCAGUUCAUUGUGUCAUCAGAACCCCCAGUUUGUCUCUGAUACCCCAGCUUUCUUCAAGCAAGCUGUCCACAGUAUGUGCUGGUAGCUAUGACACCAACAGACAAGUCAUGAGGUCUGGCCUGUCUCUUCCUUUCAAAGGCUCCUUGAUUUAUAUCAUCUUAAAUACGGUUUGAAUGAGUUGUUUUUAACUUUUGCAACUGACAUUGUCAUGUACUACCAGUCCUCAUUAAAGUCUGAGCUCUUGAGUGAAAA